This 253-nucleotide ribosomal RNA is filed under the name uncultured bacterium. RNAcentral's name for it is "partial 16S ribosomal RNA". It matches the Rfam family "Bacterial small subunit ribosomal RNA", at positions 524 to 776 of the family's 1533-position model. The record is from RNAcentral.
UACAGAGGGGGCAAGCGUUAUUCGGAAUUAUUGGGCGUAAAGGGCGCGUAGGCGGCUUUGCAAGUGGCGGGGGAAAUCCCUCGGCUCACCCGAGGACCUGCAUCCCAAACUGCCGAGCUUGAGUAUGGGAGAGGAUGAGGGAAUUCCUGGUGUAGCGGUGAAAUGCGUAGAUAUCAGGAGGAACACCGGUGGCGAAGGCGCUCAUCUGGCCCAAUACUGACGCUGAGGCGCGAAAGCUAGGGGAGCAAACGGG